This 1960-nucleotide long non-coding RNA is filed under the name Lupinus angustifolius (narrow-leaved blue lupine). RNAcentral's name for it is "long non-coding RNA (LANG_LNC001635)". The record is from RNAcentral. Lineage: Eukaryota; Viridiplantae; Streptophyta; Magnoliopsida; Fabales; Fabaceae.
GGAAAUUUAUGGAUUUUGUUCAAAUACUUUUGAUGGGCUUUACCCAAAGUAAUGUCCUUUGAUGCUGAAGUUGAAGAAUUGCACAAUAACCAAAACUUAUUGUAGAGAGAAAAGAAGAAGAGGAGGAGGAAAAAUAAUUGAGAGGAAAGUAUGACAUUUGAAGCCAAGAGAAGGAAGAUUGACGAGUCACUUUCUCCCGGGUAAACAAUGGCUAUGUCUUUCAUAAACCUCUAUCUUUUUUAUUUAUUUAUGUUUCUUCAUAUUUUUGUCUCAUAUGAUUUUUCACAUUUGAUAUGCUUAGUUUUAGUGAUGUUGAGCAUAAAGUUUUGACCUUUACCCUGUUAUUUUUGUUGGGUUUUUAAAGAUGAUUUUUAUCAUUCAUGGGAUUUUGUUUUCCAGACAAAUUAUUCUUGAUAUGGAGCUGAAUACUACUUAAUGAGAAAAAUAAAUUAUUUUUGUUGAUAGAGCAAAUGGUUAUGUGUUACUCAUGCGUAUAAUUCAUCAGUAUUUGGAUGAUUAUGUAAAAAUUAAAAUAUGCUUUCAAAAUAUAAAACCACCAUUUCAGUCCCUGAAUUUAUUAGCACCCUGUAUUAGUACUUGACUUUAGGAAAUUAUCAUUUUUGGGAUAUCAUUUUGGCCCCUGAAUGUAGGGUGUGGUGGAUCAUAAUUUCGGAACUAAUAUGAUUAAUGCUUACAGUCUAAAAAAUUGAAAUGGUAAUUUCACAAAAUCAGAUACUAAUACGGCAUGCGUUUAUAAAUUGAUGGACUGAAAUGGUGGCUUACUCUUUUUUUACCUGAUAUUGCAGUAUCCUUUUGAAUCGCCAAAUCCUUUCGGCUAUAAACUUAUAACUGAAGUCUUCGAGGUGAGAGGUUAUCAUAUUCAUAUAUGCCCAUCCUAGGCUUUAAGAUCUUCUACUGGACAAGGAAUAUGUUGUCUAGUUUCUCUUAUCUUAGGACCCUAAUCUGUCUCCCUUGUAAUCAAUAAAUAGGAUUUAACUGACAAUGUGAAAGGUGCCCUGUGCCCAUAUUAGUUUCUCUUGAAAGUUAUAACCCUUCAUCCACUUUGCAUGUACUAAUAAAGAGUUCUCAUUUUGGCUAAUUGUGGCUUGUAGGGUACCUCUGUCUUUAGUUUCACUUUAUCAUUUCAAUGAUGGUUAAAGCUAGAUUCUCUACUAUAAAAGAUGGUUUUGUCAAUUUAUAUCAUUAAGUAACAGUUUAUGUGGAUUUCCAAAGAGAAAUGUAUUUUGAUCUGCAUUCCAUUGCUUACAGGAUUCUAGUUUCAUCUAAUACAAAAAAUGGCAUAGCUACUGCAUCGAGUAAUGGACCAUCGGUAUUUCUUUUUGCUUGGCCCUUUCGUCGUGGCAUUCUUUUCUUUUAUACUUUUCCAUGUAUGUACCCAUAUGCCUAUAUCUCCAGUUAAUCUCUCUCUCUCUCGUAUGCAGGUUAGUGCGACACUUCAACAGGCGAAGAAGUAUUUUGCAGCAACAGAAGCACAAAAGGAUGGUUGUACUGGGAACUAUAGGAUCUUUGAUUCAGCCUUUGGCAAUUUUCUUGUACCUGUAGUUCCAACUCGUGCAGAGCUAACCAAGUAAUUCUUGUGCCGUACGCUUCCUUAUUUUUCCAUGUCAACUUGCAAGUUUGGUCCGUAAGCAUUGGUAUCGGUACACACUUGUAAAAAGGCCAAAACGUUAUAUAAGUAUAUUUUCUCAUAUUCCCAAGGUUCUUGUUAGCUUGUUUCCAAUUAUAGGAUGUCUGCUGCAGUGUUAAAAGCAGCUAAUUGUGCAACUUGUGCUUCACAGAGAAUUUGAUAAAAUAUGUUAGGACCCAUGGACAUGAUAUUUGUUAGGAAUAUAACAGUAGAAAUAUCUUCCACUAUAUUAUCAUAUAAAUCUUUCAAAUAUUAAUACACAAACUUCUUUAUUAUCUUCAAUUGUUCUUGCUCUACUGUGUUGAACAUUUC